This 765-nucleotide small RNA is filed under the name Pan troglodytes (chimpanzee). RNAcentral describes it as "retained intron". Lineage: Eukaryota; Metazoa; Chordata; Mammalia; Primates; Hominidae. The record is from RNAcentral.
AGGAGAGGGGAAGAGAGAGAAGGAGAGGGAAUCCCAGUUCUUGCAGCCACUGGGAAUCAAGAGGCCCAACUCCGUCUUGGUCUUCAAGCAAACAAACAAACAACAAUGGGCCGUGGGAAGGGUGAAUGUGGGUCCAGACCCGCCCCUCCUCAGCUUCCUAUAAAAGCUGGGGACCAGGUACUGCUGAUACACACACCAUGAGGCUCUCCAGGAGACCAGAGACCUUUCUGCUGGCCUUUGUGUUGCUCUGCACCCUCCUGGGUCUUGGGUGCCCACUACACUGCGAAAUAUGUACGGCGGCGGGGAGCAGGUGCCAUGGCCAAAUGAAGACUUGCAGCAGUGACAAGGACACAUGUGUGCUCCUGGUCGGGAAGGCUACUUCAAGUAAGAGGAUGUGGCCUGGGACCUGGUGGGGAGGUGGGGUGUACCUUCAGGGUGGAAGAGACUACCAUGCUGAGGGGGGAUCAUCACGGUUCUCAAGACGGGGGAGCGUGGGAAGAAAUCAGUGGAGAGCAGGAAAGAGGGAAAGACCAUCAUGAGAUGGAGGGAACAGAAAUAAAUGGUGUGAUAGAAAUCAUUAUUGUCACGGAAUUCUGAAAAUGACACUGUCCUAAAGAGAAGGAAAAUGUGGGAGGGGUGAGAGCUAAUAGACUUUCUUAGGCAGAAGAGGGGUAAGGAAAGACACUGUGGGGGCAGAGAAAUAGUGAGAGGGGAAGAAUCUAACUGGCAGGAGGUGGAAAUGGUGGGGAGUGGAUAGAGAAGGAA